Molecule: small RNA, 29 nt
Filed under: Bombyx mori (domestic silkworm)
Lineage: Eukaryota; Metazoa; Arthropoda; Insecta; Lepidoptera; Bombycidae
Description: ovarian small RNA-30539
Source: RNAcentral
UGAAAUACCAGAGUCUCCUCUGACUCAAA